This 253-nucleotide ribosomal RNA is filed under the name uncultured bacterium. RNAcentral describes it as "partial 16S ribosomal RNA". It matches the Rfam family "Bacterial small subunit ribosomal RNA", at positions 524 to 776 of the family's 1533-position model. The record is from RNAcentral.
UACGUAGGGGGCUAGCGUUGUCCGGAAUCAUUGGGCGUAAAGCGCGUGUAGGCGGCCCGGUAAGUCCGCUGUGAAAGUCGGGGGCUCAACCCUCGAAAGCCGGUGGAUACUGUCGGGCUAGAGUACGGAAGAGGCGAGUGGAAUUCCUGGUGUAGCGGUGAAAUGCGCAGAUAUCAGGAGGAACACCGGUGGCGAAGGCGGGAUCCUGGGCCAGUACUGACGCUGAGGAGCGAAAGCGUGGGGAGCAAACAGG